GAAACCACCACCAAAAGAGAAACCUCCAAUGGAAGAAACUGCCACCCUUGAUGAGGAAACCCUGACCACCUUGGACGGUGGCAAGCCUCCCAAGAAGAAGCCUCCACCAAUAAAGCCACCACCAAAGCACAAGCCUCCAGCAGGUGUUGAGGACGCCCACAAGCCACCCGGUGGUUAUAGCCGUAGGCCGCGGCCACCACCUUCGAACUAAUCAUAAGUAGCCAAGUUCGUCUCAUGGCAUAUGCAGAACGUGGUGUACUAGAAUAAGAGCUUGUAUUCAAUCAGUUGGUCAUGACUACUGCAAUUUCAUGCUAUCAAUAACGUCUCGUCAUGUAAUUCACAGUCAUGCAGUCUGGCCUACUAGAUCUCGGGCAAGUUAAUGUGCAUGAGACAUGUGUGUAUCCAUCUUCUGAGUGUUGUAAACUUAAAUAUAAGUGGUUCGCUCUUUAUGUUAUUAACUUCUUCUCUCGCAUAAUUGUAGGUGUUUCAUAGCAUUGACAUGGGCACACGCCAGUCGUUGAUAAUAACUUUCAUCUCAUCCUCAUGUGAUUAAAUGCUCACGGCACGGUUGGCCAAAAAUGUCUAAAAGCACUCUAUUCAAAUAUAUACUCUCCUCACUUUUCUCUUUCAGUUUACACCAAAAACUUAGCUAAGUCCACGGCGUAAUACUGAUUCAAAUAAACGUGUAACCUGUACAAGGUGUGACCAUUGGUGGGGCACCGACACGUAAGCCUUUAUCAAUGGCUAUACCGAUCGCAAGAACUCCUGUCGAUGGCUAUGCUUAUCAAUGACCAUGAUCAGUUAUUGACAUAGAUAGUGGUUGGUUGCCGAUUAGCAAAAUUGGCUGAGGAAGAUGGUGAUUGAAAGGUGUAGAUAAACAGUCAAAUGAUUAAUCACUCGAAAUUUAACCGUUCGACAAGUAGAAGUGGAAGAUCAUGAUGCGAUUAUAAAGAAAAACUACCCAUGGAUGGAAAAUCGUGGUAUAUGGAGCUGGAAAUUUCGGAGAUGUGAAAACAUAGCCAGAUCCGCUGGAGAUCUGAUUACGGAUAGUUAUGUUGCGAGUACUGUAAAUACCAGUGUUUGUCUACUAUAAGCCUCCCCUUGCCCACAUAUAAAACAAACAAAUCUUCUUAUCUUUCAAUUAUAUUUCAAUUCCUAUAUCAUAGUCCUAGCUGUAAUUUUGAGAUAUCUCAUAGUCAGUUAAAUUCAGGCAUGUAUUUUAGCCGUCUCUGUUGGAGAAAUCCUCUUGAAGUGUUUUGAAGUUGACAAAACGUUUCCAUCAGUCUAGUCUGAAGACUUGCAGACUCUGCUAUUUAAAGUCUAAAGACCUCCGAACAGCCAGACUCGAGACUCAAAGUCUAUCCUCAUUGACAGUUUCUAAUCCGUUGAAGAAAAGCUAUCAAGAACUGGAUGUUUCAUUAAGCAUGUGGCCUUAUCGACUGGAGAAGAUCUCUUGGCUGGAUAUAACAUAACGGAAUCCUUUAUUUGAUCAUAAUUGAUUCGAAGAUUAAGGAUCCGAUGAUUGGCAAAGUAUACUUGGAAGGUUCUACUUAUGGAAACCGAGAUCCUGAUUGUAUGGAUGAACAGGAUUGAUGGGUUAUCGACAUGUUCCUUUAAUAGCUCGAAUGAUUUUCCUAAUUGAUUCCGUCCAACGGGUAGAUUGGAGAAAUUCCUUUGGUAAGUGCCAAUGGGUAUGAUGGCAUGAAGGAGUAUAUAAGGAAGACGUUCCAGUUGUUCGAGUGUGUGCACGAUAGAAGAAUUCCAAAAUCUGAAGCUCCUUGUUCUUAGUCAAUUCAUUUGUUGAGCAAAAUCUUGUAAACAAAAGAGAGUCUAUAUUAGUGAGAAACCUUGAGGAAGUGUGGUAGAACAUCUACACUGUGGAAUCAAGGAAAAUCUGUGCUGUAACUUCUCUUUUGUUCAUAGUGAAAUCCAGCCGGUGGGCUGUCAAUGCGGAAGAGUGGACGUAUGCUUGGAAUAAGCCGAACCACUAUAAAUCUUGUGUUCAAUUUUCUCUUCCCUAACCUUUACUUUACUUUGAUCGUAUUUUCUUUUCUAUCGUUUGCCUAGAAUCGCUUCCGUAUCUCGAGAAAUUGUUUGUGCACCUAUUCACCCCCAUCUAGGUGCUUAUACUAGCUAUCUCAGUCUCAUCAUGUUUUAGCUAUUGUAAUUUGUAAAGUGUACGUGUUUUGGUCCGUGAGUUCGUAUUCUUAUGUUGAUGAAAUGCUUCUCUAAUAUGUAAGCCCAGAAAAGAUGCGCCUUAAUAUAUUCCAACCUUCUAGUGAUAAGUUCGAGCCAUGAGAAGGUUAUUUUUUUAUUUAAAUAUAUAUCAAAUCCAUUUUAAAUUCGACAUAUAGAAGGCUAAUCUAAUUUCGGUCAUCUAAUCGACUAAUUUCUUCAAUUAAAUUGAUCUCUCAUGAAGACUAUCCUAAUUCGAUUGGACAACUACAGUUGCAAAUAAGAAUUGCAGAGCAUUGGAUUAUUUUGCAGAAUUCUGUGUUUGGCUCAAAAUUUUUGCUGUUCAUGAUGUAUUAAAGAAACUACAUUGAAAUAAGUCAUGUUAGGGAAGAGUAUAAUUUAACAUGCUUUCUCUAGUUCUUCCUUUUCUAAGUUUGAACGUAAUAAGUGAUAAAAUCUUGAUAUACUUUCUCUUUACCCAUCUUCUAACUUUUAAACUGUACAUAGAGAGAAAAUCGAAAUUGGGAGAUGAUGAAGGAUAAUUGAAAACGUUUUCUUUAAUUUAUUCUUUUGUUAAGGUUUAAAGUCAAUAAAAUACCAAAUGUUCAUGUAAUUUCUCUUGAUGACAAAUCAUUUGUCCCGCCCACACCUAUUGAAGGAUAAAAAGAUCAGCAAAAUUUUAUCCUCUUGCCAUUUACAAUAACCAAACAACACUCUUAUAUAGGAAAAAACUCAUUCACAUAGCGACAUAAAUGAUUCAACAGCAUGCAAGGAUCUUCCCACAGAUGAAGUAUUGAUUCUCCCAGAGCGUCCUAACUCUGCUUGAUGCCUAAUUUGCGUUAGAAUCGCAAGAAUCUUCACUCUUCAAAAGCGAAAAGUAUAUCUGCACACCUAAAGCCUUCCAUAGAUAAAAAGCUAAAGUUGCUACCCCUUACCUCGGGUAGAAUCAACAAACUUACUUUGCUAGUUGUACAAGGUUCUGAUAGAUGUUGUCCAAAUCGUUUUUUUGCGUAAUUUUGUGAGCUUUUGUUUCGAUGGAGGAGCAUCAUCCUUGUGGCCAGGCUCUAACAGUUAUAGCGAAUGGUGAUGGUGAAUGGCUCUGAGGCAAGCAAAUGAGAGCUCGGUAAUGGAGCAAGUUUCACUCACCAAGUUCUCUAGGAUGCUCGUGCAAGGCCCUCAUCAAAAUCUAUAAAAGCAAUGUGAUAUUGUAUUUGUACAAUCGGCUUUCAGGAUCAUCAUACAAUUACACAACUGCAACGAGACUACUGGCAUGACAUGCAAAUUUUGUUGAGCUUGCUUUAGGUGCAUUUUCAGUGCAUAGUUUUUUGCCUAGCAUGGCAUCUCCGCAUAAUACUUUAUGAACAAGAUUCUACAAAAGAGUAAGGAUCACGCCUGACAACACGAUGGAUCUAAAAUCGCGAGGAGCCAUCACUAAUCAUUAAGGAAUCCAAGAAGAAGUUAGAUCCAGGAUGACAGCAUCGGAUCCAUGCCCACCCCGAAGAAAAGAAGAAAGGGUGCACCAUAUGAUCAAUCUUGUGAUGAAGAGAGAGCCCCAAAGCAGGUAAUUGAGGUCAAAGCAAAAUUGGAGGUUCAUCCCAUCUAAUGGGCUCUCACAUGCCACAAGCCAAAGUAAAGGGGUAAAAUUAUCCCAAUCAGUCUUAUACUUAUUGUAUGGAUAUUAAUUCAAUUUUAAACUUUUCAAUUUUGUUAAUUUAGUCCUAAGUGUUUGCACAAAAAUCUAAUAUUAUCCUUCCGGUCAAUUUUUACCUAUUAAUAUCUCAAUUUUGACAACCAAAAUUAGUCACUUAUUGCAUAGGAAAAAUUAGGAGUUGGUCCCGAUCUCUAAAUGAAAUAAUUGGCAUUGCAUAAUUUUUUCAUUCUCAUUGCUUUUAGUAGAUAAUAUGUCCGUAUGGAGUGUCAUCUUAGACAAGAUCACUAAUUUCCAUCAGCCAACUCGUCAUGUGACUGGUCCUAAUUUUUUCAUACGCAAAGUGUGAUUCAGGCUCGCGUUUUCAACUGCGCCCAAAACAUUGGGGCAACUGAAAUUGACAUGACAGAAGGAAAGACAUAAGCUUCGAGAAAAAAUCCCAUGGAAUCUAUGUGGACGUUCCCCCACAGAGGAAGAGGAUGGUAAGAAAAGAUGAGGGAAAUAGAGAGAGGCUGGUUCUUCUUUGUGACUACCAUUGCCUUGCCGUCGCGCAUCGCACACUGUCGCCACCCCCUUGCUGAGUUCCCGCCAUCCACUGCCCUGACGUCCGACUGCUAUUGCCAUUGACUCACCCACCUAGCUUCGUGGCCGACGAAGCCUCCUCCCACUUCGCCAUCAAUGCCCACCAAUUGCCCAACGCUCCCAGCUUCCCUGGGACGCGCAGUGCUGCUGCGGGCUCCUGCACUCAUCACUUGCUUAGCCGUAAUUAAUAACUGCUAAACCUGUCUCCUCACUCCUCACAAGCCCAGCAGCCUUGCCAUGCCUCAUCUCAAUCCUCGAGACUGUUGAGUAUAAAGGAACAAAAUAUGCUGUAGAAGAACGGAAACAGCACGUGUUGAAAAAACAGAAACAGAGGACUUGGCAAUACAGCAAAAGCAGAGGACUUGGCGAUACAGCAAAUGACUUGGAUCGCCAAGUCAUAAGAUUUAAUCAACGGCAAAGAUCUUAUAAGGAAGACCAGCCUAGAUCGACAUCAAUGAAUGAGAUGCUCAAAUAAUAAAUGACUUGGAUCACUAAGUCAUAAGCGUAGUCAAUUAGGCUUUUCUAUUAAGUAGUUGCUGUAUUCGGUUUUCCCUUGUAACCGAGUUUUGUUAAAUUCUUAGAUAUAAAUACUCUUCUUGCUUUACAUAAGAAGAUAUAGAAAAACAGAUAGAGGGGAAAAGAGAAGAGAAAAGCAUAGAGAAAAGAGAAUUUGGAUCAUCAACAAAUGCUGAGCAAUCUCUGUAUUGAAGAAGAAGAUUCGAAGAAUAGUUGACAGCUGAAGAUCAAAGUGCUGAAGCAAAUCAAGUAAGAUUGUUCUUAGAAGAUAGAACAGAGGAAUUGUAUUCUUUUCUGUUUCAAUUGUACAGAGUUACAAUGAUAUAAUCACCAUACUGGAAUACAAAUGUUCUUCAGAGUCGACCGCUUGAUCUUGUUUGAGUUCUUCAUCUUUCUCAUGGUAUCAGAGCAGUAGGUUGAUUGUCUGAUAGCUUGUUUUGAACUGGAAGUUUGUGGCAAUGGCAAUAAAAACACCAAAAUAUCCUUUUCCAAUCCACGUAAACAUUUAGAAUUUUGUCACAAUCAAGCUCGCCGAAGAUAAUUUUCUGUUGUGGCAAGCUCAAAUCCAAAGGUUUCUGAAGAGUCAAGACCUCUUUGGUUUUGUUAAUGGUGAUGUUAUUUCUCCUCCACGAAUGUUGCAAAAUGAUGAUGAAGGAUGUGACUCAGAACUUGUUAAUCCUGAUUACGCUGAUUGGACAAGAGCAGAUCAGUUGAUAUCAUCAUGGAUUAGUGGGGCUGUUACUGAGAACAUUUUGAGUCUAAUCAUUGGUUUAGAGACAUCCUUUGAGGUAUGGCAGUCUCUUCUAAAACGAUUUACACAAAAAUCAAUAGCAAAGGAGUUCGAACUUAGAGGAAAAUUACAGUCCUACCAAAAACUUGAUCAAACCCUCUCUACUUAUCUCAGAGAAUACAAAUCUAUAUGUGAUCAGUUGAAUGCUAUUGGUAAACUAGUGGAUGAAAUAACCAAAAUCUUUGGUAUACUGGAAGGAUUGGGUCCAGAAUAUGAGAAUCUUCGAACCACCAUAUAUUGUUUGAAGCCUCAACUCGAUUAUGAUGAAGUUAUAGCUCAACUGGAGAGAUUUGAAUCAAGGAUGAAGACUUAUUCCAGAAGUCAGUUCAAUCCCAGUUUGGCCUAUCUCGGGCAAAGAAAGUCUCAAAUGUACCCUAAAGAGAAUGCUAAUGGAGAAUACCUUUCACAAACUUCUGGUUUUCUAGCUCAGAGAGGAAGUUAUAGGGGUGGCCGUAGCUUUGGUCGAGGCAGAGCUAUUAGUAAUAGAGGACGAGGUUUUGGUUAUGUUGAAAAAAAAAUCAGAAUUACAGAGAAGAUGCAGCAAUUCAAGGGCAAGGAGAUCAAUAUCUAAGACAAAGGAAUGUCUUCUCUACAGCUACUCAGGGAUUUCGACCUUAUGCCACAUACUCUCAAAGGUAUCAAAACAACAAAUCUUAUCCCCCUCUUCUAUUAAACUCAAGGAAAAGUUUGCAGGAUGAGAAAGACACAGGGGUUGCUAGAUUGGAAUGUCAAAUAUGUAAACGACCUGGGCAUGAUGCUCUCCGCUGUUGGUAUCGCUUUGACAAUUCCUAUCAAGUAGAGGAUAUUCCAGCAGCUCUGACAGCAAUUCAUAUCGAAGAUCCAAAAGGAAGUGAAUGGUACCCUGAUACAGGAGCUACUGCUCACAUCAGUGCGAAUCCUGGUAUUCUUCAAACUCUUUCUAAAUAUCAAGGUCUCGAUACAGUGAUGGUUGGAAAUGGAUCUUGUUUACCUGUUACACAUAUUGGUAACACUUACCUAAAAACAGAAGUAAAUACAUUACCUCUUAAUGAUGUUCUUAUAGUACCAGAAAUAAAGAAGAAUCUUCUUUCUAUGUCUAAACUCACUGAUGACUAUCCUUGCACAUUUAUCUUUGAUAAACUUGGUGUUUAUGUAAAGGACAACAAUACCAAGGUGACAAUUCAGCUCGGAAGGAAGACUAAGGGCCUUUAUCAAGUCGAUACACGGACUGCAGCAGCCAUUUUCACUCAAAGACAGAGAACAGUCAAUGCAGAAAUAUGGCACCAAAGACUGGCUCAUGCCAAUACACAAAUAGUGGAUCACCUACAUCAUCAGAAACUGAUUCAUGUUAAUUCAGUUUCUUCAAAAAUCUGCAGCAGCUGUCAAAUAGCAAAAAGUACAGCUCUAUCAUUUCCUUUGUCAAACUCUAUAUCAACUUCGUCAUUAGAAAAGAUCCACUGUGAUAUUUGGGGGCCUUCACCAGUUGAUUCAUUUCAAAAGUUUAGAUACUAUGUGAUUUUUGUUGACAGUUUCUCACGAUAUAGUUGGUUAUAUCCAAUGAAGUUGAAAUCUGAGUUCUUUGAUAUCUUUGUUCGAUUCCAGACGUUAGUUGAAAGACAAUACAGUCACAAGAUCAAAAUUUUCCAAAGUGAUGGAGGAGGAGAGUUUGUAAGUAGGAGAUUUCAAAAACAUCUGCAAAGCUGUGGAAUAAAACAACAUCUAUCUUGUCCUCACACUCCCGAACAGAAUGGAGUCUUAGAAAGGAAACAUAGAAAUAUUGUUGAAUUAGGAUUGGCUAUGAUAUAUCACUCCAAGGUCCCACUGAAGUUUUGGGUGGAUGCUUUUGUUACAGCAAAUUACAUUGUAAACAGACUUCCAACACCAAAACUAAAAAUGGAUACACCCUAUAGUAAGAUUCAUAACACUCAACCACAAUAUGAUCAUUUGAGGGUGUUUGGUUGUGCCUGUUAUCCAUGCUUAAGAUCAUAUUCAAAACAUAAGUUCGAUCCUAGAUCCCUUACCUGUGUUUUUCUGGGAUAUAGUGAUUUGCAUAAAGGCUAUAGAUGUCUUGUGCCUACUGAUAAUCGUAUAUAUAUCAGUAGACAUGUGAUCUUCGAUGAAACAUUGUUUCCCUUCACAAAAACUGUGAUCAAUGAGUAUGGUCAAUAUACUCCUUUGUAUAGACAGUGGAUUGAAGGAGUAAAAUUGCUCGAAUCCUCAAGCACUGACACAACAAGCAAAAGUAUUUCCCAUCAGUCAGUAAGAAGAAGUCAGUAUCAUCCUAAUAUGGAUAGUUAUGACAGUGAACAGAUGCACCAACAUACUUCAUCAGCAUCAAUGCAGCUUCAAGAUACUCCAUUAACACCAAGGCAGAAUGAUGCUAUCACAGAAACUCGAUCUGGUCAGAGUUCUUCAUCUUUCUCAAGUACUCUGCCUAUCAAUAACAGUCCUGACAUAGAACAACAUACUCUUGAUCUAUCUUCUUCUCAGAGAAAUUUUGGUAAUCAUCCUAUGCAGACCCGACUCAAAUCAGGUAUUAUUAAGCCAAAUCCAAAAUAUGCUUGCUUGGCUGAGUAUCGAGUUCCUAUGGAACCAAGAUCCAUCAAGUCAGCAUUAGCUGAUAAGGGUUGGCACAAUGCAAUGCAAGAAGAGAUGAAUGCUCUGUUUGAUAAUCAUACCUGGACAUUGGUUCCAAGAACAGACCAGAUGAAUGUUGUAGGCUGUAAGUGGGUCUUUAAGACCAAGCUCGCACCAGAUGGUAGUCUAGAAAGACUCAAGGCUCGUUUGGUAGCCAAAAGAUUCCAUCAGGAAGCAGGACUUGACUUUACUGAGACAUUCAGUCCUGUUGUGAAACAUGCUACAGUUCGCAUAGUACUCUCUGUAGCUCUCACAAGACAAUGGACAAUACAUCAACUUGAUGUGAAGAAUGCCUUUCUUCAUGGAGACUUAAAUGAAACUGUUUAUAUGGAACAGCCACCUGGCUUCAUUCAUCCUCAAAAAUCAAGCCAUGUCUGCCUUCUUCACAAGUCGUUAUAUGGACUUCGACAAGCACCAAGAGCUUGGUUUGACAAAUUCAGCAACUUCCUUCUUGAAAUUGGUUUUUUCUGUAGUACAGCCGAUCCAUCUUUGUUUGUGCUCCAUACUGAGUCGGAUACAGUGUUAUUGCUUCUUUAUGUUGAUGAUAUCAUUCUAACAGGAAGCUCUCCUCAACUCUUAACUGCAUUAAUCCAGAAUCUUAGUCUUCAUUUUCAUAUGAAAGACCUUGGAUAUUUUCACUACUUCUUAGGUAUUGAAGUUAAACGUACUUUACAGACCUUGUUCUUAUGUCAAACAAAAUAUGCAGUCGACCUACUCAAACGGGCACAUAUGACAGAUUGCAAACCAAUUUCUACACCUUUGCCACUACGGUCAAUUGCUAUGGCCAAUGCUGAAGUUCCUCUGCUAGAUCCUAUUGAAUACAGAAGCUUGGUAGGUGGUCUUCAAUACUUGACUAUCACUCGACCAGAUCUAGCAUUUGCAACAAAUCUCCUCUGUCAGAAGAUGCAACAUCCCACAAUGGCAGAUUUUCAUCAAUUAAAAAGAGUUUUACGAUAUGUCAAAGGAACUGUUCAUCUUGGAUAUUAUCUUCAUUCCAACAGUUUGACAAAUCUCUAUGGUUUUUCAGAUGCUGAUUGGGCAAGUUGUCCUACUACUCGACGAUCUACUAUAGGAUUCUGCACUUUCUUAGGUUCUAAUUUGAUUUCCUGGUCAACCAAGAAGCAAUCUACUAUUUCAAAGUCUUCCACAGAAGCAGAGUAUCGGGCUCUAGCAUCUACAACAGCUGAAUUAACCUGGAUCAGUUUUGUUCUACGUGAUAUUGGUAUUCCUCUUGCACAAGCUACAUCAUUGUUUUGUGACAAUAAAUCAGCUAUUUCCCUCACAGCCAAUCCUGUUUUGCAUGCGCGAACAAAGCACAUAGAAGUUAAUUUCCAUUUUGUUCGUGAAAAGGUGUCUUCUGGUUCCAUUUCUAUCCAACAUGUUCCAAGUCAUCUUCAAGUAGCUGACAUAUUCACUAAGUCACUCUCCCACUCAGCUCAUCUGUCUCUUCGCACCAAAUUGGGAAUGGGAUUCCUCCCCCUUCCCAAUUUGCGGGCGGAUGUUAAGUAUAAAGGAACAAAAUAUGCUGUAGAAGAACGGAAACAGCACGUGUUGGAAAAACGGAAACAGAGGACUUGGCAAUACAGCAAAAGCAGAGGACUUGGCGAUAAAGCAAAUGACUUGGAUCGCCAAGUCAUAAGAUUUAAUCAACGGCAAAGAUCUUAUAAGGAAGACCAGCCUGGAUCGACAUCAAUGAAUGAGAUGCUCAAAUAAUAAAUGACUUGGAUCACUAAGUCAUAAGCGUAGUCAAUUAGGCUUUUCUGUUAAGUAGUUGUUGUAUUCGGUUUUCCCUUGUAACCGAGUUCUGUUAAAUUCUUAGAUAUAAAUACUGUUCUUGCUUUACAUAAGAAGAUAUAGAAAAACAGAUAGAGGGGAAAAGAGAAGAGAAAAGCAUAGAGAAAAGAGAAUUUGGAUCAUCAACAAAUGCUGAGCAAUCUCUGUAUUGAAGAAGAAGAUUCGAAGAAUAGUUGACAGCUGAAGAUCAAAGUGCUGAAGCAAAUCAAGUAAGAUUGUUCUUGAUAAUGCUAGUACGAGUACCUAGAGGGGGGUGAAUAGGUUUAUGAAAAUUUUCUUGAAGAUUGCACAAUACUUAGACAGAUGAAGUAUUAAAAAAUCAAUCGUAAGACUGAGUAAAGGAAAGAGAGAAUUAAACACGAGGUUUAUAGUGGUUCGGCUUGAUUCAGCCUACGUCCACUUCUCUGCACUGACAGCCGAUUGGCUGGNNNNNNNNNNNNNNNNNNNNNNNNNNNNNNNNNNNNNNNNNNNNNNNNNNNNNNNNNNNNNNNNNNNNNNNNNNNNNNNNNNNNNNNNNNNNNNNNNNNNNNNNNNNNNNNNNNNNNNNNNNNNNNNNNNNNNNNNNNNNNNNNNNNNNNNNNNNNNNNNNNNNNNNNNNNNNNNNNNNNNNNNNNNNNNNNNNNNNNNNNNNNNNNNNNNNNNNNNNNNNNNNNNNNNNNNNNNNNNNNNNNNNNNNNNNNNNNNNNNNNNNNNNNNNNNNNNNNNNNNNNNNNNNNNNNNNNNNNNNNNNNNNNNNNNNNNNNNNNNNNNNNNNNNNNNNNNNNNNNNNNNNNNNNNNNNNNNNNNNNNNNNNNNNNNNNNNNNNNNNNNNNNCCAAGAAUGUUUCGUCGACCAUCGGAUCUUUAAUUGUUCUUAGAUAAGAAUCAAAAAAUCCGAAGUGAUUAUCCAACCAAGGGAUCUUUUCCAGAGGAUUGGAUCGAAUCCCCAACCAUAUACUUCGGCUUCGGAUAUCCUUCGCCACUGGAUUAGAAAGACUAUCAGUGAGAAUAAUCUUGAGUCUUGAGUCUUGAGUCUUGAGUCUUGAGACUUGAGAUUACAAAGUCUUGAGACUUUAAACUAUCGAUAUUCAGACUAGACUGAUAGAAAUGUUUUGUCAGCUUCAAAAUAUUCUGGAAAGAUUUCUCCAACAGUUCUUAGAAGAUAGAACAGAGGAAUUGUAUUCUUUUCUGUUUCAAUUGUACAGAGUUACAAUGAUAUAAUCACCAUACUGGAAUACAAAUGUUCUUCAGAGUCGACCGCUUGAUCUUGUUUGAGUUCUUCAUCUUUCUCAGAGACUACGAACCUUUGUCGACAAUCCACAUCCUUGCCCGACAUAUACCAGCCCAUUCCAAGCCGGAUCUCAGCCCACGGCGUCACGUGUGGUGGUAGUCCAAGAGCGCAGAGGCGCUCUCUCAACACUUCCAACAAGUCCGGUAGCUUUUGUUUUCCUAUUGCAGAUUUCCGUGGUGCUUUACUGAUUCACUCCCGCAAACGCCAGCAUCCUCGGUGUCCUUUACGGCCUGAGCAACGCUAGGUCGAUCACCACCGGAUCAGAUUUUCCUUCGGCUCAGUCUGUGGUCCUGUCAAGUUGUUGGCUUGCGCUGCUCCAUCCGAAGCAAUCCAUUUCACUGGUCUCUUGCUCGAUCAUCACCAUUGGUCCUUGCUUCAUUUGUGUUUUCCCUCAUUGGCUACAGUUGGUUUCGUGUAAGGUGAGUUCAUUUUUGUCAUGUUUAUAUGAUGAUCAUUAUAUCAAACAAUGCAUGUUAGUAACUACACUUUAGGUUAUGCUAAUUAUACUUUUUCUUUUUACAUUAGUCAAGGCAUACUAAGGCGUCAGACCUUUAAGGCCAACGGUUUAAGCCCAAUGGUCGGUUCCCUAAUAUCGUCUCAUGCACCAUCCACGAUUUUAAUGUGUGUUUUUAUAUAUGUGAUUGAUUGAAUAAGCUUUGCAGGAAAUAUCUACUAGGGCAAGGCUAUCAUAGAAGAUGGAUCUUUUCCCUUAUUUAGGGCUGUAUUUUCUUGGAGCAGUCUUCGUACCAACCUUUGUUGUACCGAAAUAUUGUCUUUGUAUUUUUAUGAUAAACUUGGGUAAGACGUAUAUUUUGGUACCUCAUGAGAUUUAAUAUUCAUCAUGUAAAUAUGACACGUCACAUGUCACAUACAUCUUUAGAAUUAAGGCACUUUCAUAAUUCACAUUUUAGAGAUUUCAUAGUUAGAGUAUUGCAUGUUAGUUUUGGAAUGCAUGUGGAUUUAGGGUAAUCUAUAGUUUUCAUUAAACAAAAACCAGACAAAAAUUGUUUUUAGAAUCAUAUAGAUUGCAUGUAUAUUUAAAGUUAAUUAGUCUCAUAUCAUUCAUACCAUAUAAUGCACAUCACUUAAAAUUAAUCUUUUGAUAAUCAUAUCAUAUAGAUAGUCUUAGUUGUUAAUUGCAUUGCAUACAUUAUCCGCAUUGCAUAUUUUCAUAUAGCAUGAAAAAUGCAUAUAAAGAAAAAGUUAGCUUUGCCUCGUUUAGUUGUUAGUUAUAUAGCAUUUGUAUGUUAGUUCACGUGUAGAGUCUAAGGUCCUAAACCUUUAAUUUCAAUAAAAGUAGAAUAAAAAUAAUAUUGCAUAUAGAUUGCAUUAUAAAAUUAGUUUAUGGUUAAUUUUAAUUGACUUAGGAUUGCAUACAUACAUUCAAAAUAUGCCUUCUUGCACAUAGGUUUUAGAUUGUAUCUUCAUGUAGUAACUAUUGGAAAAAAAUCCCAAAGUGUUUUUUGAAGAUUUUCAAAACUAUCAUUAGUAUAAUUUACUAUGACAUACUGAUUUUCAGGUUCUGAUUUCGAUUAGAUAAGUUGGACCUUUUAUCGACGCGCCUAUGGUGCUCUUCUUUGAGUUGGCCACUCACGAGAUAACUAGCCUACUGGGUGAAGCCGUUAAAGGAUUUUAAUACAAUAGACUGGAGAAUUCAAUCAGGAAUCGAUCACUCGACCAUGUUAGUCUACAAUGGUCAUUACGGCAUAAUAAAAAAAUCGAUCAAAGAUCGAAAAUAGGUCGAUUCAACUGAGAUGUGUGAUCAAAGUGUGGGUGACUCCACCUGAUUACAAAAUUCUCAUUGAUCGAUACUAGACCGAUUUUCUAUCGUUUUCGGCACCCUAUGUCCGUAUUUGAAACCUCGAGAUUUUCACAAUCACCAAGAGUCUCCAAUGUGUCGAAGAGGUAUGUUGUGACUCAAAGAAAAUCAACCAUGGGUCAAUUGCAUAAAAAUCAUAAAAGGNNNNNNNNNNNNNNNNNNNNNNNNNNNNNNNNNNNNNNNNNNNNNNNNNNNNNNNNNNNNNNNNNNNNNNNNNNNNNNNNNNNNNNNNNNNNNNNNNNNNCCGACCUUCCUCCUUCACCAAAUUCAGUGGACCCAGCUCAUCCACGCAAUUCUCUCUCUCUCUCUCUCUCUUCAAUUGUCUCUUUCGUUCAAUUCUUCCUCGCCAGCUGCCCCACAAUAUUUCUCUCUCUUUUGUCCCAUUUCCAUGGCAGCAAUUCACCGAAGCUGCCACCAGCUUGUCUAUUCCUUUGCAGUCCCCUUUCUAUUCCUUUUCGGUUUUAUUGAAAACGGCAGCAGCCCAUCAACGCCCCCACCAAAGCUGUCCCCACGUCCGUCUUUCCUCUUCGUUUCAUGCUUGUUAGUCAACUAGUCGAACUUCAUCAGCCCGUGACCGUGAUCCACUCAUCGAAAGGCCCAGCACCCGUCGAGCUCUCUCUUCCGCCCAAGACUUUCACGGCCAGUCCAUUUACAGCCCCGUUCCAGCAAGUCCAGCAGCCACAACUCGGCCCAGUUCAUGCCGUUUCAGUCACAGCCUGCACCACCAACCGCGGCUGCCGAACCUAGCCUGAGCUGUGCCCGAACCAGCCAUCGUUGCAGCUCCUUGGGCCCAAAGCUGAAGCCAAAACCAGCAAGGGUUUUGGGCUUUGCGAGGCCAUUUUCAGACCCGUCUCGGCCUCACUUGGUGGUCCCGCUUCGAAGUUUAUUGAGCCCCUCCAUGUCCCCAUCGUUUUGGUCCGAGCGGAUCGUCAAUUAAGUGGGUUUAACUCACUAAUCAUCGCUUAGUAAGUUAAUGACAUUUAAGGAUUGAUUAGUUUAGGUUAAGCAUGGAUUAGGUGGUUAUUUGAUUAGAUUAGUGAUUUAAUUAGCUGAGAUUGCAUGUUAGGUGAUUAGAGUAGUGUAAUUAGAGCCUAGACAAACUCUAGUAUUUAACUAGAGUGGUUCGGUAAUUUUCCGAGCCCAUCUCGGCUUCCAAUUAGGCUUUACGGGCCUAAGUAUGCAUUUUUGCUAUUUAUUGGCAUUUAUUUAUUAUUUUUCGUUAUUAUUUAAUUAUUUAUUUAUUUUUCGGAAAUUAGACCGAGAUAGCCAGUGACAGGAAUUUUAUGCUGAUUGCAAUAGUGUGGUAUGUUUAUUUAAUUGAGCUCUAAUUCAUGUUGAUUUUGUGUGAUUUGUAUUUUGGGAAAUUAUUCCAAAAAUAAUUAAUUUUGGUAAUUAAUUAGAAAAUCACCAGGCGUCGGUUUACAAUGCCAAAAAUGAGUUUAAGGAUUAGUGAAAUUAGUGGGAUUUUCAAGUGUGAAAAUAUUAUAUUUUGGCUAAGGUCAACCGUGUACCCACAUACAAGUAUUUUUUUAUUGGGAAUGAUAAAAAUGAUGAUCUGAUCAUGCGAUCAUAAUCAAUAAUUGUGGCAGCUUUUGAUGAGCUAUAGUAUACUAUAUUGAUAAUUGUGACAGCUUCUGAUGAGUUAUAGUAUACUAUAUUGAUAAUUGUGGUAGCUUCUGGUGAGCAUAAAUAAUAUACUAUAUUGAUAUUUGCGGCAACUUCUGGUGAGCAUAAAUAGUAUACUAUAUUGAUAUUUGCGGCAACUUCUAGUGAGCAUAAAUAAUAUACUAUAAAGUAUUUGAGGCAACUUCCGGUGAGCUAUACUAUCUAUUAUUGGCUUAAAGUAAAUAGUUACAGAUUAUGAUCAGACUUUAUAGAUAGUAUUAAUUGAGAUGGCCGAUGAAUGAUCUUGAUGUCAUGUAAUCAACUGAGUCGAUUAAUCGAUGAUUCGAUAUGGCUGGAUAAAUUUAUUGUGAAGUGAUUGGUUGUGAUAUGAAUUGUACUGAUUUGCAAAAAGGAACUAAGGCUAAGGUAAGUCCUCUGACUCGUGAUUGUGCUUAGAUAGCCCUUUGGGCGUAUUUUCUUCCUAGUCAAGUUUUAGGGAGUUGAACUUACUGAGACGUAGUCUCAUCCCAUUGUGGGAUAUCAUUUUCAGGUCCCUAGUUGACAGUAGUGGAGGACCCAAGGCCCAAAGUUUAGAAGGUGAAACCUAAAAAAUCGGCGAUCUUGUCUAACUAGUUAGUCAUAGGACAAUUCUUUUUUGGUUGAUAGCCGAUCCCUUUUUGUAGGCUUCUAUAUAUAAAUCCGUGUGUUUAUAAAAAUAUAUUUUGUGAAAAAUUGGCCCUACCUUUCUAUCACAUCUUGCUGUUGUCUGGGGAUUUACUAAUUGCUUCCACAUGCGCAUUAAAAUGAAUGGGUCGGCGAUGCGUUCUGAGACGUCAUUAUUAAUCGACUAAGAAGGGAUGGGCACGGGCUCGAAGAUUCGGGACGUGACAUUUACUACGGUAUUUGCAAAACUAUCAUGGAUUACGUGAUAACCACAGUCUGAUUCAUUGGGUGAAGAUCAGUCAUAUAGGUUUUUUCAGUAAACAACACCAAUGGAUCUAAAGAUCAGCAUAUGUCAAUAUUUGCAUAGAUUCUAUUGAUAUCAGGUCAAUAGUGAUGUUUCAACAACAAAGUGUUUGUGGGCUCAUAAAUAUAGCCUACAUAGCAGAGGAAACCAAAAGUCCACAGAGAAUCAGAGAAAAGGCCAUCUGCCAGCCUUGUCAGAAGCUAUAGUGAUAGGACAACGGCAAAAGCUAUUCUUAGGUAAUCAGCAAAUGUUUAAGAAAAAUGGUUGUAUGGAUAGCACUGUCUUUAGACAGCAACACCAGUAGUAAACUCUUAACAGCUUCUUACUACUCCAAAGCAUCUUCAAAGGAAAGAUUGAAUAUAGAUUAAAAGAUAAUAUCUUUGAAUCCACAGGUUAGAGAUGCAAUAUACAAAAGAACAAAAACUGCUUGAAUCUGUGUUCUUAGCAAAAAUAUUUUAUUCAUGUAUUACUUUGAGUGUUGUAAUCUUGUUAUCUUGUCAUCAUGUAAAAGAUCAAGUGUAUCAAUAGAUAGCACUACCUAAAUUCCUAAUAUUGUGAUUUAUCAUCUGAAGGGAUUGGUGUGUGUGCUGUGUAUAACUUAUUGAGCCAAUUAUCACUGCCAUUUAGCCCAACUUGUGGCUAUUAAUUAGGAGGGUGGACAUAGGUUUGAAGAUAACGCCAAACCACUAUAUAUUAUUGUGUGCUGCUAUUUUCCUCUCUCUUUAAUUACAUAAGAACACAGUUUGUUCACAAGUUUUCAAAUUUUAGCUCAAAUUUAUCUUUACUUAGCGUCUACUAAUUUUUGUGAAAAGUUGACAAAGUUUUCAAAGCAAUCUUUUUAUCUCUAGGUUGUAUCGUUAGCUCCUACAAUAACUUGGGUCAUACAUGUUAAUUUAGUUAGUGCAUGAUUAGGAAUCAAUACAUAUUCUUUUAUUUUGUAGACUUUUAGGGUUGUUUGCCUUUUGUUAAUUAAUAAAAGGGAAAAAAAAACAAAAACUGAAUUAGAUUAUACCAUGUAGAUUGUAUUAGUUAGGAAUAUCAAUUUUUUAAACUUCAUAUUGCACUAUUUUUAGAGAGUCACUUGUCAUCUAGGAUUAAAUUUCAUUGACAUUUUAUUUAUAUUUUUUAAUUAAUUUCAUAACGUGUAACCUAGAACUCAUCAUGUAUGUCAUGUGAUCACAUCAUUCAUGCCAUCUAGCCUUUUAAUUAGUGCAGUUUAAUUAGUCAUUUUCACACUUUCUUAAAUUAUGCAUGUUAGUUAAAAGAGAAAAAAAUAUAAACAAAUUUAGAAUAGAUUGAAUGUUUGUUAGUCACUAACUCAUGCACAAUCAUGAAUACCAUUCAUGCAGAAUGUUUGCAUAUUUUCCUAAUUAUAGUUUGCAAAACCUCAUGGUGAUGAAUAGUGAUUUAUAUUUCUCUGUUUAGUGCAUCCACAUUUUUAAAUCUUCUGCAAUCCAUUUACUGCUUUGAUUAAUGGGUGUUACUUUAUUAAUUGCACACCAGCACGAUCAUCCCUCACAUGUUAGUGGGCAUAAGAUAAAAAUUGAUAAAGAUUGCAUGUGAGACAUCUUCGAAAUAAAGAGAAAAUGUACUAAAAUGGCCCUAAAUUAAUCUAGCGUAAUCAGAUCCCCAAAUCCAUUAAUCUUUGGUUUGUCAAAGUAAAAUAUACUCCAACAUUUUGCUUAAAUGUCUAAUCCGCCUAUAAUCGAUUAGUGACUAUCAUGACCCAUCCCUCCAAAGCUAUUACGAUCCCAAGGGAUAGGUUUAGAAGCAUUUGUUUAUAAAGUCAAUUCAAAUGGUUUGUACAAAUGGAAAUCUCAAAUGAAACACCAAACAACCCCUCAAACGGAUGUAAAAUCCGAAUUUUACAUAUGAACGACAACUUCAGAUGAGUUCUCCAAUUAACACAAACUGUGACAUCCCGAAUUUUCAAUAUUGUUUUCAAUUAAAUUAAAUCGGGUCUUUCAUCGACGCACUAUAGUGCUACUCUCAGAGCUGAUCACUGGUGAGAUAACUAGACUAUCUGGGGAAGUCAUUAAGGAGAUUUAACGUAAUAGACUUGAGAAUUUGACCAGGAAUCGGCUACUUGACCGUGCUCAUCUGCUGAGAUCAUUACGACACAAAUAUAAGUCAACUAGAAAUUAGAGAUAGAUUGGUUUGACCAAGAUAUGUAGCUAAACGUAGGUGAUUCCACUAAAUUACAAAAUUCUCGUCAACUGACACUAGACUGAUUUUUCUGUCGUUUUGGUAUCUCCAUAUUUGAAUCUUCGAGAUUUUCAUGACAAACAAGUCCCUAAAAAAACAAUUAUAAAGUUUUAGCCAUUUGACAAGUAAGGAUAACAAUUUUAUAGGAAUGAAGCAAGUUCGAUGUCCUUGGGAAAUGGAUUCCAGAACCCGGGCAAGGAUAAUGUCAACACACUAAUUGGGCUCCUUGGACCAUUAAACGAGCGUCAAAUCUAACAAAAUUAGUAUCAAAAUAAAGUUUAGGGUAUACCAAACAACUUUGUUGAAGAAAAUUUCUCAAGAUUGGCAUCACAUGAAUUUAUAAUAAUUUCAGAACAAGCAAAAGUCAAGCCAGGAAAAUGGAUUUCGCAGAAGCCCUGCAACUUUAGAGAGGUUGGUAAAAAUACCAAAACAAGUUUUUAUUUUCUGAAAAUUUAUGAGAAUGAAGUUUAAUAUUUUCUUAACAAAUCUCAUGAAGACAUCCACAAUGGAUUCAGCAUACACAAAUUUCUAAAAAUCAGAGAAUUCAUGUAUAUCAUUCUAGAAAUAGAGCAUCACAGAAGCAUAUGUCUAUAGUUCACAGCCAUUUGCGUCAUCUAAAAAUGAUCCAUUCGAUCUGAAAUUUCUACAAAACAUACAUAUACAAUGUCCUAUCACUUUUAUGAAGACAUCUAAGGCAAAUUCAUUUUACAUGAAUUUAUAAAAAAAUCACAAUAUCUGCACAGAUCAUUCAGGAGAGACAAAUCACAAUAGCAAUUGCAACGGGAAACACGAUCAGUCUAUGACCCAUCGACCAUACCAAAUGAUACUAAAAUACUUUCAAAUUUUUAUAUGUUGUGAAUAAACUUCAAGAAGACACUGAUUUAAAAUUUGAUCCACAAAAAAAUUGUAUGACAAUGACAAACAACAAAGGUCACCGGAACCGGACACGAAAACAGAACAGGAAAAUUUUCCAGAUUGCUGUUCGGUUUAGUAAAAAAGUUAGACCUAGUAAAUGAUCUUCAAAUCAUACAAACAAUGUAUCAAAAGAAAGCUAAUGAUAUCUCAUACGAAUCCUUAGAAGACCUCAAAUGCAAUCGGAAUCAUUUUCCAGCUCAAAUGAAGAUAGCUAGCAAAUAGGUCAAGUCUGAAACAGAGUUUAAAGAUUUAUGCCUAAAAAACAUGAGUUUAAUUUGACUAAACGAUUCGGAAAUUCUAUGAAAUUUUUACGUGAUUAGAACUAGAUGUAAUUACCAAUCUAGGUCCAAAAUCAUUAUACAAAAAAAUCAUACAAAAACAACAAAUCGAGUAGGUGGGUUAACCUCAACACAUAUUCCAGAACAGAUUGCCCUACUCACGAACAAGUUUUAACAUAGCAAACGAGGUCUGACUUAUGCAUUUAAUACGUCUAUGAAAAGCUCUUGAAACCAGCUUUGAAUCUCAUGAGGAUCUCAAAACCUAUAAACAACAUUAUCAAGCUCAAAUGAAGACGUUUAUUAGAUCAGUCCAAUCAGGCCAUCUGAAUUACAAAAUAGACAAUCAAUCAAGCAGAUCAUCAAUACAAACCAUUCUAAGCUAUCAUCCAUCAUCUAUAGCCAUUCUAAGCUACAAUGAUCAUCAAUACAAUCGUAGAACAUCAUCUUAGGGUCUAGCUUUAGCACCGAUUGCAUAAGGCAAUCUCACUUCAUGCAGCUCAAGAUCGAGAAGUUUACUUUAGUCAAUCUCUAUGCGAAGCACAAUCGAGCUAAGGUCACUGUAAACGGGGCUUAGGACAUGCCGAGGGAGGUCCAACACCAGCUAAGGACACCAGAAUAGCUUCGGAAUAGUCGUUGAAGUUGUUGGAUUACAAAAAAUCGGCGCCAAGCUGAACUGAUCGAGAGAAUUGACCUUGUACAGGGCAAUCUAGCAUCAAACAAGACUUAUAACGACACAAGAUCAACCUCACGGAUGGCGACGGAAUGUCAGUAAGGCUGGAAUUCAUCGAAAAAUCAUCACAAAUCGUCGAAACGAGCGGUUGAAACCAUCAGUCUCAACACUAGCGAUGAACACGAUGAUUGGCGUCCAAAGAAAACUAGGCAAGCGGUCUUGAGGCCGGAUGGCUGUUGUGACCGAUGAUAGGGGUGGCUAAUUGAUAUAGCUAGUAAUAGCACCCAGAGGGGGGUGAAUAGGUGUUUAAAUAAUUUCUCGAGAUAUGAAAGCAAUACUGGACUAACAACAGAAAGGAAGCUCUCCUUUAGUUAACAAAUCGAACUAUGAUCAAAGUAAAGCGGAGAGUAAGGAAGAGAAGAUUGAACACAAGGUUUAUAGUGGUUCAGCUUAUUCCAAGCCUACGUCCACUCUUCUGCACUGACAACCUACUGGCUAGAUUUCACUAUGAACAAAAGAGAUAUUACAGCAUUGCUUUCCCUUGAUUCCACAGUGUAAAUAUUCUAUCACACUUCCUCAAGGUCUCUCAAAGUAUAGACUCUCUUUUGUGUACAAGAUUUCGCUCAGCAAAUGAAUUGACUAAGAAUCAAAGAGCUUCAGACUUUGGAAUUCUUCUAUCGUGCACACCUCGAACAACUGGAACGUCUUCUUUUUAUACUCCUUUGUGCCAUCAUACCCGUUGGCACUUACCAAAUGAAUUAUUCCAAUCCUCCCGUUGGACAGAAUCAAUUAGGAAGAUUAUUCGAGCUAUUAAAGGAACAUGUCGAUAGCCCAUCAAUCUUGCUCGCCCAUACAAUCAGGAUCUUGGUUUCCAUAAGUAGAACCUUCUAGGAAUACUUCAUCAAUCAUCGGAUCUUUAAUCAUUCUUGAUUUGAAUAAAGGAAUCCGUUAUGUCUUAUCUAGCCAAGAGAUCUUCUCCAGUCAAUAAGACCAAAUCCUUAGAGAAGCACUCAGUUCUGGAUAGCAUUUCUUCAACGGAUUAGAAACUAUCAAUCAAAAUAGAUUUUGAGUCUUAAGUCUGGCAGUCCGGAGAUCUUCAGACUUUAAUAGCAGAGUCUGCAAAUCUUCAGACCAGACUGAUAGAAACGUUUUGUCAGCUUCAAAAUAUUCCAGAAAGAUUUCUCCAACACUAAUGAUGAUCAAUGCACUGGUGGACUCACUAGAAGUGGCUCCAACAAGCGGUGGUGAGGGGGUGGUGAAGUGGCGUGGCCGAGCAAGAGAAAGGGGGGAGAGAAUGGAUUUAAAAUUCAAACCCUUGAGAGAGAGAAUGGAUCUAAAAUACAAGCCCCCCUUGCAUUUUGGAGGGAAAAUGGCUUAUAUACCUCCUUGCAAGAUCAAAUCUUAGCCCUUGGAUCAAUCCAAUGGCUAGGAUUCAAUCUUCCUAGCUUAAAUAACUUACUGAGGCACUAAGCUUGCUUAUGACUAAAUGAUAAUGUGUACAUGUCAAUUGGAAGGGCUAUGAUGAACUUUUAAAGAAUGAUCAUGAUUAAUUUUGUGAUUAAAGGGCAAUCGGGGACAUUUUUAUAAUUUCACAUAUCUGAGGGCAAUUUUGUAAUUUCAUUAUGGUGAAUUUGUAAUUUUGUGCAAAAGGGACAUGGGAGAGUCGGCCAUGGCCUUAGCUUGUCAAUGAUGGUUGCUGGCCACCGCAGAUCUAUCAAAAAAUGGCCAAACCGGCCAUUUCUACUAGUGAACAAUCGAAUCGGUCAUAUCAGUCUGAAUCGGUUUUGACUGGUUUGAUCGAUUUUGGCUAGUUUUUGCAAAAUUUUAUGCAAUUUAAGGAAUUCCUAUCCAGUUUGAAAUGAAAAUAAGCUAAUUUGAAGAGGAACGGUCCAAAAUCACCAAUAUUAAACCAACUAAAAUUUUCAAAAACAUUUCAAUUAAUUUUAAUUGGUUUAAUUAAUCCAAGAAUAUUGAAAAUUACACUUAAACUUAAUGCCGUGAAUUUGGAAUUUCUAUGCGAUUAGCGCAAUUUGUGCAACUCCCACCUUUAAAAACUAGAUUGACCAAAAUUGAACCUAAUUCAUAGAAUAAGAUCUCAAUUGGUUUAAUUACUCAUGUUAAUAAUGACUUAAUGCAUCCAAAUUGAUACUAAAAUGGUGGUAUGAACUUUAUGACAAAAUUAGAGCAAGGGCCAAUGAUGAAAUUGAAUGUUAACCCAUCAAAUUAAACCUUGGUCUAGAAUGGCCAAAGAUGACUUUUUGGUUGUUUUGUUAAAAACGAGUAGGAAAUUACCUACAAUUGACAGGCCAAAGAAAACAGAAUGAAAAAUGACACUUUUGCUUUGAGCAAUAGGUUCCGUCAUGAUCAGAUACCUUAAUCUUGAGUUUUUACUUUUAACUAUAUGUUGACUAAAAAUCAAGUGUCAACAGUGAUGACUCUAAAAUGUAAGAUAAGUUACAAUAUUAAAAUGAGUAUCCAAUUGUGAUUGGUAGUGCUUAGAAGAGCAUGUGUGGAGCAUUAUGCUUAGUAAUGGAUUAGUUUUCUAUUGGAAGUUCACCUUCGGGAAAGUCACAACAUCACCUUAAAUUGUUGACGUGGCAAUUCAAUAUUGCUAGUUGUCCUAUUGAUUUCCAAUGAAAAUUUAUUGAAAAGACUACAUUGAAAUUUUAUGCAAAUCUUUAUGACUAAAAUGGUAAAAUUAAGAAUUUUAGAACUGGGCUGACGAUCAUAUAAUAGGUUUAGAACUCCAAUUAAAGAACGUGGUCCUCUUGGGUUAGUGAGGUAUGAAGAAUGUAUUCCUUCCUCCUUUAUAACCCAAUUUAUACUUUCUCAUGAUCUAAAUAUCUGAAAUUGAUCAGUUUAUCUUCCACAUUCUGCGAACACCAACAGAAGCGAAUGGGUAUAGGUUUAAAAUAAUUACAAGUAAGCAGUCUCUCUGAGUUUGAUUGAAAUGAGCUUGCUUUGUAGUUAAUCUGCCAAGGAUCCAAGUUUCACCAUGUGACUCUAAGUUAAACCCAAAUUCAGAGCUCCUUCAAGAUUCCAGAGCCAGAAUCCAAAGUCAUCACCACUUUCUUCAACUGCUCUUUCAAGAAGUUGGAAAUGGAAUGCAUCAUAACAAUGUAAAUAUCAUAUUAGGAAACAUGGGAGUUAUCAUUUCUGUCUAAUGAGUAUCAGAUCAUUAUAUGGGGAAUGAAUCCAAUAAAAAUCUAAGCAAGCAUCAAAGUCAAAGCAAAUACAAUUACCCUCAUAAAAGUAGAUACGACCAAGCAUAGGGUUAAGAAUAAUCCGAAAAGUAGAUUGAAGGAAUUUCUGUAUAUUUCGAUAAUAUCAUAAUGAAGAACACAUCAAUCAUUUAUAGACUUUAUUAGAUAAUUAUAUAAGAUAAAAUAUUAAUCAAAAUAUACAUAAUCAAAUGGAGAAAUACUCGAAAUCUUGAGAAAUAUGAAUAAUCAAUAGAAACAUCUUAAUCAUUUUCAAUAUAAGAAAAUAUCAUAAUUAUAUCUAACAUCCUUUCAAACUCAAAUGUGCAUAGAAGUCAGCUUGAGUCUGGAUUAAAGAAAAAAAUUCCGAAAAAUGCUUAGUCGAUUGCCGGAACGGUUGCCGUUAACACGGCUGCUUACACGGCUAUUAUGGAUUGUCGUGGCUGUUGUGCAAGCUACACGGUCAGAGAUUGUCGUUGCAACAGAAGGCUACUGUCGAGGCACGAGGCGGCUCUAUGUGACAACAAAAUAGGCUGACUGAGGAGCUGAUGUCACCAUAGGACUAUAAGAACAAUGCCCGAAAUCAACGUUGAUUAGACGAUAUUAGGACUUAUUGAGAAAAAAAAAAUCAUAAGAGGCCAGAUCUAGUGUGCCGUGGUGCACUUGGGAGUGCAACGUGGGCACAUUAGAUCGUGUAGCUCUUAUACAAAGUUAAGAAUAAUGCAGAAAAUAGAUUUAUAGGAUCUUUGUAUAUUUCGAUUAUAACUUAGUGAAGAAUACACCAAUCUAUUUAAUUUCUUAAUUUUUAUUUUGUUGUUUCAAUAUUCUCACAUUUUCACGUGACAUGGAGGUUCAAAAACACUAGAAUAGAUAUUGUACAUCCAAUAUUUUCCUGUGGGUCAUCCAUGGAGGGUUCUAGUGGGAUUGGAUGUGUAUAGUCGAUGUAAUAAAAUAAUGUAAGUAUCACAGCGUUGUCUCAUCGAAUAUUCGACAGAUCGAUGCAUUUGGACAAAUAUCAUAUGCUUUACAUGAUGAGUUUGGAGGAAAAAAGUCACGGUUGCUGGAAAAUGUGUGAUUCUCAGAAUCGUCAUUAGCUAUAGAGGUUGUCGUUUAGUUCUUAUUCUUGCAAAUCCCCGCCCCUCGCUCCCCGAGUGUCACGUCUAGAUGAAAACCAAUCCACUGCGACAAGUGAUCGCGACCUCAUAUUUAAUGUUAUCUAGUUAGCUUUAUUUACUUAUAAUAAAUCAUUAUCGUUGCUUAUGGACUAAGCAAAGUCCAAGUCUUGACUAAUCUUCUGUGUAGUGUGAGUCUAAGACGUGAUUCAUCACAUUUUUCUUCGCAAAAGAAAAUUAUAUUCAUUAGUCAAAAAAGAUACUUAAGAAGUACGUAGUCUUCGGGACAAAAUAAAUCUGAAAAAUAGAGUUAAAUCCUGAAAAUAAUAAGGAUCAACGGAGCAUUUACAAAGUUAAGCACACACUCAUUUAAAAAGAAUAAAUCUGUCAAGCAAAAUAAGUGGUGGUAGAUUACCGCAUUUCGUAUCUUUAUUAGUAAUAAGUAACACUGAAAAUUCAUUCUCCAAUAACUAAGACAUUGUCAAUUGACAGUGGACACUUAAGUUCAACUUUCUCUAUACCAUCGUUGUACAGAGACAACCAAAAUAGGUUGAAUAAACAUAGAUUUAACAUGUGGAUGACCAAAUUUUCGUGAUUUAAUGAAACGCCAAGAUUCUUGCGAUCAUCAUUGAAGUUGAAAGUAGAGAACCUAUAUACAAACAAAGUAAAAAGGUAUCAAAUCCCUAAAAGCAUAUUUAUUAAACUUCCAGAUCUAAAUUGGGAGAGAAUAGCACCAAGAUCUAAAAUUUGAUCAGGAGAGUUCAAACUCUCAAAUUGAGAGAAUAGAGCUCCCAAAUCUAAAUUGAAGAGAAGAAAAAGAAAGAAGAGAAUAAUAAAACUCAAACAAAAUCAACAAGAGGAAGGGGACGUGAGACUAACUCAAAUCCUCUCCCAUAGCUAAAGGUUAAAGAAGAAGAUAGAAAGAAAAGAGAGGGAGAGAGAAAAGAUUUUUCCACUCUCGGAAGCAAUAAAAACAUAUUCAUUCGCAAUAGAGGCUACUUAAUCUUUUGCAAAAAGGUGAAAGGGUUGUUGUCUUCACGAUGUAUUCACGUUCACUCACCUAAGCAGUUAAUAGGACAUUGUCACGAUGUAUUCCAUCGAAGAGAGUGGAGAAAAGUAAUAAAUUUAUUGUAUGGUGCCAGUUCACUCCUAUACCUUUUGCUUUGGCUAGUUUCUUUUUGACAAUUUGUGAAUAUAAUCAUUUUGAUUUAUGUUGGCUGACAAGCAUUGACAAUUUGCUUUUUCUUUUAUUUUUUUAUAAUUUUUGUUUUAUUUUCCUAUUCUUUCUACUUCUUUUUCCCUUCUCCCUCUGCUAGUCAAUGAGCCUCGGUAAUGGCUAGUGACUAGCCAUAUGCAAGGGCCAAUGAGGUUCAAUCUUGUUAGCUGCAGUUGAGGCUUGACCUUGCUUGAGGCUAGCAAGGUUGAUCCUCACCGAAGGCUAGCGACCACCAAAGGCAGAAAGGAAAAUAAAAUUGAUUUUAAAAAAUUAUUCACGUGAUUACCAACCGUCCUACAGUCAUGUCACAUAGGAUAACUAGCUUUUAUGUCAGUGAUUGCCAAAUAAAAUUAGCUAGAAAAAUUAGAUUAGUAAAUCAUUAAAAAGUUUAAGAUCGAUAAAUUUAUAACUUUUUGGAAAAUUUUCCGGGCCUCUAAUGUAGUAUGAAAAAUGGCUAAUUCACCCGCUUUUCCUUCGACCUGGCAAAAUUGUUAUUUUUCAUCACAAUAAGAUGGCUAUUUGGAAAGUGACAGAGAGAAGCCACGGCCCCCAGUGGGAGAGAUUGAGGGGAUCGCGAUGUUCUUAGCCUUAAACACGGCCUUGUUCUUAGUCAAGGUGCUUUCAGAGAAUAAAUGAAUUUGAGAUGGAACCCGUAAGUCCCCUAUUUGAGAAUAAACAAUGUCGACCAUAGUUAGGAAUUUUCAAAAAGUGAAAUACAAAGCUGAUCAAGAUGACUGGUUGAUAUGACUGAUAGGUUAUACUAUUUAGAUUUAAGAUCCGUAAAUGGUGGGCUUUCUCCCUCAACCUUGCAUUCUGGAAACCUCGAACAGGAAGGAAUAUGGGAAUGCAUAACGCAUCAAACAUGUCUGGUUUAGGUCGAUUAAAAUUCCAUUUGACAUUACCUCAAACAAUUUCGAUAUUUGCCUAUGAACUUUAUUAAAUAACAACUAGCUAAAAUUCUCGAACGGAAAUUUGAGGAACAACUCGGGGCCAAUGGGCCCAUGCAUCACGGGCUCCACAGAAGUACCAUUAUUUGCCAUUCCAUCGAGAAGUGGAAAAAAGCAAAGCGAAAGAUGCAGAAAACGUAGAAAAUAGCAACGCACAUGGAACAUUUCAAAAAUAAUUGAACGACACGUGUCUAGGUGAGAUAGGUCCAAUCCCACUAUAAAUUAUCGUGACUCCGCCUUCUCACCAUGCAAGAACCGUAGAAAACAUGUCUCCGAGAAAGAUCCUUUUGCUUUUCCUGCUUAUGGUGGCGCUCACCACAGCCGCUCUUGCCGAUCAUGGCCCUCCGCAUAAGCCUCCCCAUAAGCCGCCGCAUAAGCCGCCUGCAAUGGAGGAAAGCACCACCCUUGAUGAAACCCUUACCACCUUGGAUGGUGGCAAGAAGAAACCGCCACCCAAAAAGAAACCUCCAAUGGAAGAAACCGCCACCCUUGAUGAGGAAACCCUGACCACCUUGGACGGUGGCAAGCCUCCCAAGAAGAAGCCUCCGCCGAUAAAGCCACCACCAAAGCACAAGCCUCCAACGGGUGUUGAGGACGCCCACAAGCCACCUGGUGGUGGUGGCCACAAGCCACCUGGUGGUGGUGGCCAUAGGCCACCACCUUUGAACUAAUCAUAAGUAGCCAAGUUCGUCUCAUGGCAUAUGCAGAACGUGGUGUACUAGAAUAAGAGCUUGGAUUCAAUCAGUUGGUCAUGCUUACUGCAAUUUCGUGAUAUCGAUAUCAUGUUGUCAUGUAAUUCGUAGUCAUGCGGUCUAGCCAGCUAGAUUUUGGGCAAGUUAAUGUGCAUGAGACGUGUAUCCAUCUUCUGAGCAUUGGAGACUUGAAUAUGAGUGGUUCGCUCUUUAUGUUAUUAACUUCUCCUUUCACAUAAUUGUAGGUGUUUCAUAGCAGUGAAAUGGGCACAUGCCAGUCAUUGA
RNAcentral lists this long non-coding RNA (27301 nucleotides) under Eucalyptus grandis. Its description in RNAcentral is "long non-coding RNA (EGRA_LNC004510)". The record is from RNAcentral. Lineage: Eukaryota; Viridiplantae; Streptophyta; Magnoliopsida; Myrtales; Myrtaceae.